GACGAACGCUGGCGGCGUGCUUAACACAUGCAAGUCGAACGGUAAGGCCCUUCGGGGUACACGAGUGGCGAACGGGUGAGUAACACGUGGGUGAUCUGCCCUGCACUUCGGGAUAAGCCUGGGAAACUGGGUCUAAUACCGGAUAGGACCACUGCCUGCAUGGGUGGUGGUGGAAAGCUUUUGCGGUGUGGGAUGGGCCCGCGGCCUAUCAGCUUGUUGGUGGGGUGAUGGCCUACCAAGGCGACGACGGGUAGCCGGCCGGAGAGGGUGACCGGCCACAAUGGGACUGAGAGACGGCCCAGACUCCUACGGGAGGCAGCAGUGGGGAAUAUUGCACAAUGGGCGCAAGCCUGAUGCAGCGACGCCGCGUGAGGGAUGACGGCCUUCGGGUUGUAAACCUCUUUCAGCACCGACGAAGCGCAAGUGACGGUAGGUGCAGAAGAAGGACCGGCCAACUACGUGCCAGCCGCCGCGUAA
Molecule: ribosomal RNA, 477 nt
Filed under: uncultured bacterium
Lineage: Bacteria
Description: partial 16S ribosomal RNA
Rfam family: Bacterial small subunit ribosomal RNA
Source: RNAcentral